This 814-nucleotide ribosomal RNA is filed under the name uncultured bacterium. Its description in RNAcentral is "bacterial SSU rRNA". It matches the Rfam family "Bacterial small subunit ribosomal RNA", at positions 59 to 916 of the family's 1533-position model. The record is from RNAcentral.
CAGUCGACGGGAAUCUUCGGAUUCUAGUGGCGGACGGGUGAGUAACGCGCAAGAAUCUAACUUCAGGACGGGGACAACAGUUGGAAACGACUGCUAAUACCCGAUGUGCCGAAAGGUGAAACCUAAUUGGCCUGGAGAAGAGCUUGCGUCUGAUUAGCUAGUUGGUGGGGUAAAGGCCUACCAAGGCGACGAUCAGUAGCUGGUCUGAGAGGAUGAGCAGCCACACUGGGACUGAGACACGGCCCAGACUCCUACGGGAGGCAGCAGUGGGGAAUUUUCCGCAAUGGGCGAAAGCCUGACGGAGCAACGCCGCGUGAGGGAGGAAGGUCUUUGGAUUGUAAACCUCUUUUCUCAAGGAAGAAGUUCUGACGGUACUUGAGGAAUCAGCCUCGGCUAACUCCGUGCCAGCAGCCGCGGUAAUACGGGGGAGGCAAGCGUUAUCCGGAAUUAUUGGGCGUAAAGCGUCCGCAGGUGGUCAGCCAAGUCUGCCGUCAAAUCAGGUUGCUUAACGACCUAAAGGCGGUGGAAACUGGCAGACUAGAGAGCAGUAGGGGUAGCAGGAAUUCCCAGUGUAGCGGUGAAAUGCGUAGAGAUUGGGAAGAACAUCGGUGGCGAAAGCGUGCUACUGGGCUGUAUCUGACACUCAGGGACGAAAGCUAGGGGAGCGAAAGGGAUUAGAUACCCCUGUAGUCCUAGCCGUAAACGAUGGAUACUAGGCGUGGCUUGUAUCGACCCGAGCCGUGCCGAAGCUAACGCGUUAAGUAUCCCGCCUGGGGAGUACGCACGCAAGUGUGAAACUCAAAGGAAUUGACGG